AACGAACGCUGGCGGCAUGCCUAACACAUGCAAGUCGAACGAGACCUUCGGGUCUAGUGGCGCACGGGUGCGUAACGCGUGGGAACCUGCCCUUAGGUUCGGAAUAACUCCCCGAAAGGGGUGCUAAUACCGGAUAAUGUCUUCGGACCAAAGAUUUAUCGCCUUUGGAUGGGCCCGCGUUGGAUUCGCUAGUUGGUAGGGUAAAAGCCUACCAAGGCGACGAUCCAUAGCUGGUCUGAGAGGAUGAUCAGCCACACUGGGACUGAGACACGGCCCAGACUCCUACGGGAGGCAGCAGUGGGGAAUAUUGGACAAUGGGCGAAAGCCUGAUCCAGCAAUGCCGCGUGAGUGAUGAAGGCCUUAGGGUUGUAAAGCUCUUUUACACGGGAUGAUAAUGACAGUACCGGGAGAAUAAGCUCCGGCUAACUACGUG
RNAcentral lists this ribosomal RNA (433 nucleotides) under uncultured bacterium. RNAcentral describes it as "partial 16S ribosomal RNA". It matches the Rfam family "Bacterial small subunit ribosomal RNA", at positions 29 to 507 of the family's 1533-position model. The record is from RNAcentral.